GACGAACGCUGGCGGCGUGCUUAACACAUGCAAGUCGAACGGUAAGGCCCUCCGGGGUACACGAGUGGCGAACGGGUGAGUAACACGCGGGUGAUCUGCCCUGCACUUCGGGAUAAGCAUGGGAAACUGGGUCUAAUACCGGAUAGGACUCCGGACUGCAUGGUCGGGGGUGGAAAGCUUUUGCGGGGUGGGAGGGGCCCGCGGCCUAUCAGUUUGUUGGUGGGGUGAUGGCCUACCAAGGCGACGACGGGUAGCCGGCCUGAGUGGGUGACCGGCCACACUGGGACUGAGAGACGGCCCAGACUCCUACGGGAGGCAGCAGUGGGGAAUAUUGCACAAUGGGCGCAAGCCUGAUGCAGCGACGCCGCGUGAGGGAUGACGGCCUUCGGGUUGUAAACCUCUUUCAGCAUCGACGAAGCGAAAGUGACGGUAGGUGCAGAAGAAGGACCGGCCAACUACGUGCCAGCCGCCGCGGUAA
This 478-nucleotide ribosomal RNA is filed under the name uncultured bacterium. Its description in RNAcentral is "partial 16S ribosomal RNA". It matches the Rfam family "Bacterial small subunit ribosomal RNA", at positions 28 to 523 of the family's 1533-position model. The record is from RNAcentral.